UCGAGGGGUAUUGGUUUUCGGACCAAGAGACCGGCGCACGGGUGCGUAACGCGUAUGCAAUCUACCUUUUACAGAGGGAUAGCCCAGAGAAAUUUGGAUUAAUACCUCAUAGUAUUACGACUCGGCAUCGAGAUGUAAUUAAAGUCACAACGGUAAAAGAUGAGCAUGCGUCCCAUUAGCUAGAUGGUAAGGUAACGGCUUACCAUGGCAACGAUGGGUAGGGGUCCUGAGAGGGAGAUCCCCCGCACUGGUACUGAGACACGGACCAGACUCCUACGGGAGGCAGCAGUGAGGAAUAUUGGUCAAUGGGCGCAAGCCUGAACCAGCCAUGCCGCGUGCAGGAUGAAGCAUCUAUGGUGUGUAAACUGCUUUUGUACGAGAAGAAACACUCCUACGUGUAGGAGCUUGACGGUAUCGUAAGAAUAAGGACCGGCUAACUCCGUGCCAGCAGCCGCGGUAAUACGGAGGGUCCAAGCGUUAUCCGGAAUCAUUGGGUUUAAAGGGUCCGUAGGCGGUUUAGUAAGUCAGUGGUGAAAGCCCAUCGCUCAACGGUGGAACGGCCAUUGAUACUGCUAGACUUGAAUUAUUAGGAAGUAACUAGAAUAUGUAGUGUAGCGGUGAAAUGCUUAGAGAUUACAUGGAAUACCAAUUGCGAAGGCAGGUUACUACUAAUGGAUUGACGCUGAUGGA
Molecule: ribosomal RNA, 690 nt
Filed under: uncultured Bacteroidota bacterium
Lineage: Bacteria; Pseudomonadati; Bacteroidota
Description: bacterial SSU rRNA
Rfam family: Bacterial small subunit ribosomal RNA
Source: RNAcentral